RNAcentral lists this transfer RNA (75 nucleotides) under Chloroflexota bacterium. RNAcentral's name for it is "Chloroflexi bacterium (freshwater metagenome) tRNA-Arg". It matches the Rfam family "tRNA". From Rfam's summary of the family: Transfer RNA (tRNA) molecules are approximately 80 nucleotides in length. Their secondary structure includes four short double-helical elements and three loops (D, anti-codon, and T loops). The record is from RNAcentral. Lineage: Bacteria; Bacillati; Chloroflexota.
GCCCCUGUAGCUCAGCGGAUAGAGCACCGGCCUCCGAAGCCGGUGGCGAGAGUUCGAUUCUCUCCAGGGGUACCA